This is a long non-coding RNA of Uloborus diversus, 457 nucleotides long. RefSeq lists it as uncharacterized. The record is from RefSeq and is a predicted model, not a curated record. The transcript is spliced from 4 exons. NCBI's taxonomy places the organism in Eukaryota, Metazoa, Arthropoda, Arachnida, Araneae, Uloboridae.
GCAGAGCUUCGAGAACAGUUGCGGACACUCUCCGAGAAGACAUCCCAAGAGAAAGAGGAACUGAGAGUAGCUCUGGACAAGGUCAAUGCAAGGUGCCAGGAGUUGGAGGCAGAAGUGAAAGAAUUACGUUCUCGCUUCUCAGACACAGGACUCCCCAUCGAAGAGCCUCGCAAGCAACUUCACCUCCAGGCAGCUUCCAGUGGAACAAACAGUGGAACAUGCAAGCGUCCUUCUGAACGUUCCGAAGAAAAACCUGCCAAGAAACGUCUGCCAGUGCCCAGAACGGCGUCAGAAACAAAUGAAGAUGGACGGACUAAGUUGCACAUAGCAGUGGAAAGAGAAGAAUUCCUGACAGUGAGGACACUGCUGGCCAGUGGUUACGACACUCGUGCACAGGACAAAAAAGGAAAUACGCCCCUUCACCUCGCUCUGGAGGGGUGGAGGAAGGACACGGCAG